CACGUAGGCGGCUUUUUAAGUCAGGGGUGAAAUCCCGGGGCUCAACCCCGGAACUGCCCUUGAAACUGGGAAGCUAGAAUCCUGGAGAGGCGAGUGGAAUUCCGAGUGUAGAGGUGAAAUUCGUAGAUAUUCGGAAGAACACCAGUGGCGAAGGCGACUCGCUGGACAGGUAUUGACGCUGAGGUGCGAAAGCGUGGGGAGCAAACA
RNAcentral lists this ribosomal RNA (207 nucleotides) under uncultured bacterium. RNAcentral describes it as "partial 16S ribosomal RNA". It matches the Rfam family "Bacterial small subunit ribosomal RNA", at positions 568 to 774 of the family's 1533-position model. The record is from RNAcentral.